CUGAGGCGGGCGGGGCCCUACCAUGCAAGUCGAACGGUAGCACAGAGAGCUUGCUCUCGGGUGACGAGUGGCGGACGGGUGAGUAAUGUCUGGGAAACUGCCUGAUGGAGGGGGAUAACUACUGGAAACGGUAGCUAAUACCGCAUAACGUCGCAAGACCAAAGAGGGGGACCUUCGGGCCUCUUGCCAUCAGAUGUGCCCAGAUGGGAUUAGCUAGUAGGUGGGGUAACGGCUCACCUAGGCGACGAUCCCUAGCUGGUCUGAGAGGAUGACCAGCCACACUGGAACUGAGACACGGUCCAGACUCCUACGGGAGGCAGCAGUGGGGAAUAUUGCACAAUGGGCGCAAGCCUGAUGCAGCCAUGCCGCGUGUAUGAAGAAGGCCUUCGGGUUGUAAAGUACUUUCAGCGGGGAGGAAGGUGUUGUGGUUAAUAACCGCAGCAAUUGACGUUACCCGCAGAAGAAGCACCGGCUAACUCCGUGCCAGCAGCCGCGGUAAUACGGAGGGUGCAAGCGUUAAUCGGAAUUACUGGGCGUAAAGCGCACGCAGGCGGUCUGUCAAGUCGGAUGUGAAAUCCCCCGGGCUCAACCUGGGAACUGCAUUCGAAACUGGCAGGCUAGAGUCUUGUAGAGGGGGGUAGAAUUCCAGGUGUAGCGGUGAAAUGCGUAGAGAUCUGGAGGAAUACCGGUGGCGAAGGCGGCCCCCCUGGACAAAGACUGACGCUCAGGUGCGAAAGCGUGGGGAGCAAACAGGAUUAGAUACCCUGGUAGUCCACGCCGUAAACGAUGUCGAUUUGGAGGUUGUGCCCUUGAGGCGUGGCUUCCGGAGCUAACGCGUUAAAUCGACCGCCUGGGGAGUACGGCCGCAAGGUUAAAAACUCAAAUGAAUUGACGGGGGGCCCGCACAAGCGGUGGAGCAUGUGGUUUUAAUUCGAUGCAACGCGAAGAACCUUACCUGGUCUUGACAUCCACAGAACUUUCCAGAGAUGGAUUGGUGCCUUCGGGAACUGUGAGACAGGUGCUGCAUGGCUGUCGUCAGCUCGUGUUGUGAAAUGUUGGGUUAAGUCCCGCAACGAGCGCAACCCUUAUCCUUUGUUGCCAGCGGUUAGGCCGGGAACUCAAAGGAGACUGCCAGUGAUAAACUGGAGGAAGGUGGGGAUGACGUCAAGUCAUCAUGGCCCUUACGACCAGGGCUACACACGUGCUACAAUGGCGCAUACAAAGAGAAGCGACCUCGCGAGAGCAAGCGGACCUCAUAAAGUGCGUCGUAGUCCGGAUUGGAGUCUGCAACUCGACUCCAUGAAGUCGGAAUCGCUAGUAAUCGUAGAUCAGAAUGCUACGGUGAAUACGUUCCCGGGCCUUGUACACACCGCCCGUCACACCAUGGGAGUGGGUUGCAAAAGAAGUAGGUAGCUUAACCUUCGGGAGGGCGCUUACCACUUUGUGAUUCAUGACUGGGGGAAGUCGAACAAGGAACCCAGGG
Molecule: ribosomal RNA, 1483 nt
Filed under: Enterobacter cloacae
Lineage: Bacteria; Pseudomonadati; Pseudomonadota; Gammaproteobacteria; Enterobacterales; Enterobacteriaceae
Description: bacterial SSU rRNA
Rfam family: Bacterial small subunit ribosomal RNA
Source: RNAcentral